Long non-coding RNA from Alnus glutinosa, 518 nucleotides. RefSeq lists it as uncharacterized. Lineage: Eukaryota; Viridiplantae; Streptophyta; Magnoliopsida; Fagales; Betulaceae. The record is from RefSeq and is a predicted model, not a curated record. The transcript is spliced from 2 exons.
UUCUAUUUAUUCUUGGACUAAGACCCGUUUUUGACUCUGUUUUGGUCGGGCGAAUUAGCUUUAUUUGUGUCUUCUUCUUUUGGUUGUGCGCGGGUGGUGUUUAGAAUGAUGAAUCAGAAAUUUGGAGGGGGGAAACAACCCACGGGGACUCCAUCGUUGGCCUGGUCCUGCGUGGUUGUCGUCGUCUCGCUCCUCGCUGGCGCAUCCGUUGUCCACAACACAUACAAACCUGAUCUUACGUUGCCUCCAGCGGAGAGUGUUGAUGGGGCUAAGGUGAAACAACCUGAGAAAGAAUGAAAUAUUAUUACAUUAAGGUUUGGUUCUUCAUAAUUUGAAGAAAAAUGCUGUUUAAAAUAUCAGAUGUGGUAGGCACCAUAUAUGGAUUAUGACAAAUGGCAUCUAAUGGAGCAGACAAUUUAUGUAAUGGAAAAACCGAACCUUUAAAUUUCUUCUUAUAUAUGCUUAUGUUUGUAUGUGUUCCUUAGACUAAAUAAAUUUUAUAUUUACCUUUGACUUCA